GUAGGUGGCAAGCGUUGUCCGGAAUUAUUGGGCGUAAAGCGCGCGCAGGCGGUUCUUUAAGUCUGAUGUGAAGGCCCACGGCUCAACCGUGGAGGGUCAUUGGAAACUGGAGAACUUGAGUACAGAAGAGGAAAGCGGAAUUCCACGUGUAGCGGUGAAAUGCGUAGAGAUGUGGAGGAACACCAGUGGCGAAGGCGGCUUUCUGGUCUGUAACUGACGCUGAGGCGCGAAAGCGUGGGGAGCAAACAGGAUUAGAUACCCUGGUAGUCCACGCCGUAAACGAUGAGUGCUAAGUGUUAGGGGGUUUCCGCCCCCCUUAGUGCUGCAGCUAACGCAUUAAGCACUCCGCCCUGGGAGUACGGCCGCAAGGCUG
Molecule: ribosomal RNA, 373 nt
Filed under: uncultured organism
Description: partial 16S ribosomal RNA
Rfam family: Bacterial small subunit ribosomal RNA
Source: RNAcentral